GAUGAACGCUAGCGGGAGGCUUAACACAUGCAAGUCGAGGGGCAGCACAGGUAGCAAUACUUGGUGGCGACCGGCGGACGGGUGCGUAACGCGUAUGCAACCUACCUUAUACAGGGGGAUAGCCCGGGGAAACUCGGAUUAAUAUUCCAUAGUUCAGUAAAUUCGCAUGGGAUUACUGAUAAAACUCAGGUGGUAUAAGAUGGGCAUGCGUCUGAUUAGGUAGUUGGUAGGGUAACGGCCUACCAAGCCGACGAUCAGUAGGGGUUCUGAGAGGAUCAUCCCCCACACUGGUACUGAGACACGGACCAGACUCCUACGGGAGGCAGCAGUGAGGAAUAUUGGUCAAUGGGCGCAAGCCUGAACCAGCCAUCCCGCGUGAAGGAUGAAGGCCUUAUGGGUUGUAAACUUCUUUUGUACCUGAAGAACCCUUCUACGUGUAGGAGGUUGCCGGUAAGGUACGAAUAAGCAUCGGCUAACUCCGUGCCAGCAGCCGCGGUAAAAGU
RNAcentral lists this ribosomal RNA (503 nucleotides) under uncultured bacterium. RNAcentral describes it as "bacterial SSU rRNA". It matches the Rfam family "Bacterial small subunit ribosomal RNA", at positions 28 to 527 of the family's 1533-position model. The record is from RNAcentral.